This 375-nucleotide ribosomal RNA is filed under the name uncultured bacterium. Its description in RNAcentral is "bacterial SSU rRNA". It matches the Rfam family "Bacterial small subunit ribosomal RNA", at positions 284 to 671 of the family's 1533-position model. The record is from RNAcentral.
UAGCCGGCCUGAGAGGGCGACCGGCCACACUGGGACUGAGACACGGCCCAGACACCUACGGGAGGCAGCAGUGGGGAAUAUUGGGCAAUGGAGGAAACUCUGACCCAGCGACGCCGCGUGCGGGAUGAAGGCCUUCGGGUUGUAAACCGCUUUCAGUAGGGAAGAAGCGAAAGUGACGGUACCUGCAGAAGAAGCACCGGCUAACUAUGUGCCAGCAGCCGCGGUAAUACAUAGGGUGCAAGCGUUGUCCGGAAUUAUUGGGCGUAAAGAGCUCGUAGGUGGUUUGUUACGUCGGAUGUGAAAAUCUGAGGCUCAACCUCAGGCCUGCAUUCGAUACGGGCAAACUAGAGUUUGGUAGGGGAGACUGGAAUUCCU